AUCUUCUCUCCAUCCUUUACCUCUUGUAUGAUUUGGAGCAGAUUAUUCUCUUAGCCUCCUCUUUCAGCUUCGCUUUUCUUUAUAAAUGGGACCAAGAUCUACUUCAUAUGAAGAUUAAAUGAGGGAAGGAUGUUGAAUGGACCAUCUACUUCUGAGAGGCGAAGCCCCAGACCCAUCUGGAUGGGAGAGGCCGAGAUUGAGUGGGCAGUAAAGGUCUUCAAAAUCCAUUAUGUAUUUUACACUUGCAGUACAUCUGAAUUUGAACUAGCCAUACUUCAAGAGCUCAAUACCCACAUGUGGCUAGUGGCUUGUGUUCUGGACAAUGCAGGUCUGGAGCACACUAGUGCUCCAUAUACGGGAG
RNAcentral lists this long non-coding RNA (361 nucleotides) under Equus caballus (horse). Its description in RNAcentral is "lncRNA (ENSECAG00000046176.1)". The record is from RNAcentral. Lineage: Eukaryota; Metazoa; Chordata; Mammalia; Perissodactyla; Equidae.